This 182-nucleotide unclassified non-coding RNA is filed under the name uncultured Agaricales. Its description in RNAcentral is "sequence contains ITS2". The record is from RNAcentral. Lineage: Eukaryota; Fungi; Basidiomycota; Agaricomycetes; Agaricales.
CAUGUUCUCUCAACCUCUGAUGAGGCUUGGAUGGUGGAGGUUUUUGCAGGCCAGCUUUGUUUGGUCUGCUCCUCUGAAAAGCAUUAGCGGUCGUCGUCUCGUACUGCAGGUGUGAUAAAUUAUCUAUGCCUAUGGUUUUGAGUGGUGGGGCUGCUUCUUAACACACCCAACUUUAUUGAAAA